Rhinopithecus roxellana (golden snub-nosed monkey) is the source of this 1480-nucleotide RNA transcript. It is a transcript of the gene named ras GTPase-activating protein-binding protein 1-like, with no coding region annotated. The record is from RefSeq and is a predicted model, not a curated record. The transcript has 2 exons. Lineage: Eukaryota; Metazoa; Chordata; Mammalia; Primates; Cercopithecidae.
GUUGGAGAUGCUGCGGCGAAUACGCCAGGUUAAAUUGACCAAAUCAAUGGUGAUGGAGAAGCCUACUCCCCUUCUGGUUGGGUGGAAAUUUGUGAGACAGCAUUACACACUGGUGAACCAGGCCCCAGACAUGCUGCAUAGAUUUUAUGGAAAGAACUCUUCUCAUGUCCAUGGGGGAUUGGAUUCAAAUGGAAAGCCAGCAGAUGCAGUCUACAGACAGAAAGAAAUCCACAGGAAAGUGACAUCACAAAACUUCACCAACUGCCACACCAAGAUUCUCCAUGUUGAUGCUUAUGCUAUGCUAAAUGAUGGUGUGGUAGUCCAGGUGCUUCUCUCUAACAACAACCAAGCUUUGAGGAGAUUCAUGCACAUGUUUGUACUUGCUCCUGAGGGGUCUAUUGCAAAUCAGUUCUAUGUUCAUAAUGAUAUCUUCAGAUACCAAGAUGGAUUUGUUACUGAGCCUCAGGAGGAGUCUGAAGAAGAAGUAGAGGAACCUGAAGAAAGACAGCAAACACCUCUGAUUCUGGAACUUUCUAUGAUCAGGCAGUUGUCAGUAAUGACAUGGAAGAACAUUUAGAGGAGCCAGUUGCUGAACUGGAGCCUGAUCCUGAACCAGAACCAGAACAAGAACAUAUAUCUGAAAUCCAAGAGGAAAAGUUUGAGCUUGUAUUAGAGGAGACUGCUCCUGAGGAUGCUCAGAAGAGUUCUCCAGCACCUGCAGACAUAUCUCAGACAGUAUAGGAAGACUUGAGGACAUUUUCUUGGGCAUCUGUGACCAGUAACAACCUUCCACCCAGUGGAGCUGUUCCAGUUACUGGGAUACCUCCUCAUGUUUGUAAAGUACUAUCUUCACAGCCCUGUACAGAGUCUAAGCCUGAAUCUCAGGUUCCACCACAGAGACCUCAAAGGGAUCAAAGAAUGCAAGAACAAUGAAUAAAUAUUCCUCCCCAAAAGGGACCCAGACCAAUCUGUGAGGCUGGUGAGCAAGGUGACAUUGAACCCCGAAGAAUGGUGAGACACCCUGACAGUCACCAACUCUUCAUUGGCAACCUGCCUCAUAAAGUAGACAAAUCAGAGCUUAAAUAUUUCUUUCAAAAUUAUGGAAACAUGGUGGAGUUGCACAUUAACAGUGGUGAGAAAUUACCCAAUUUUGAUUUUGUUGUGUUUGAUGAUUCUGAGCCUGUUCAGAAGGUCCUUAGCAACAGGUCCAUCAUGUUCAGAGGUGAGGUCCGUCUAAAUGUGGAAGAGAAGAAGACUCGAGCUGCCAGGGAAGGGGACCCACAAGAUGAUCGCCUUUGUGGACCUGGAGGCCCUUUAGGUGGGCUGGGUGGUGGAACGAGAGGCCCUCCCUGUGGAGGCAUGGUACAGAAAGCAGGAUUUGGAGUGGGAAGGUGGCUUGCUCCACGGCAGUGAAUCUUCAUGGAUCUCCAGGCGGCCAUACGAAUCCUAGUUCCUACAGAAUGGUGAAUUUCUUUGACCA